Molecule: ribosomal RNA, 253 nt
Filed under: uncultured bacterium
Lineage: Bacteria
Description: partial 16S ribosomal RNA
Rfam family: Bacterial small subunit ribosomal RNA
Source: RNAcentral
UACGUAGGUGGCAAGCGUUAUCCGGAAUUAUUGGGCGUAAAGAGCGCGCAGGUGGUUAAUUAAGUCUGAUGUGAAAGCCCACGGCUUAACCGUGGAGGGUCAUUGGAAACUGGUUGACUUGAGUGUAGAAGAGGGAAGUGGAAUUCCAUGUGUAGCGGUGAAAUGCGUAGAGAUAUGGAGGAACACCAGUGGCGAAGGCGGCUUCCUGGUCUGCAACUGACACUGAGGCGCGAAAGCGUGGGGAGUAAACAGG